UCAAUCAUAAUCUUAGAUUAACAAUUUAGUUUCCCAUCAAGUCACACAUCAUCAUUGAAUAAAAUUUAAACAUUCAAAUCAAACUAAAAAAAAUAAAAAAAUAACAAAAAGAUAGAAAAACCCAAGAAUUGUAUUCUUGAUCUCCAAAUCUCCUUGAAUACUUCAAUUUAUUAUCAGCUUCAAUGACUUUGUGGCUUAACUCUCA
This 205-nucleotide long non-coding RNA is filed under the name Theobroma cacao (cacao). Its description in RNAcentral is "long non-coding RNA (TCAC_LNC005287)". The record is from RNAcentral. Lineage: Eukaryota; Viridiplantae; Streptophyta; Magnoliopsida; Malvales; Malvaceae.